UCGGGAAUUUUGGGCAAUGGGCGAAAGCCUGACCCAGCAACGCCGCGUGAAGGAUGAAGUAUUUCGGUAUGUAAACUUCGUAAGAAUAGGAAGAAUAAAUGACGGUACUAUUUGUAAGGUCCGGCUAACUACGUGCCAGCAGCCGCGGUAAUACGUAGGGACCAAGCGUUGUUCGGAUUUACUGGGCGUAAAGGGCGCGUAGGCGGCGUGGUAAGUCAUCUGUGAAAUCUCCGAGCUUAACUCGGAACGGUCAGAUGAUACUGCUGUGCUAGAGUACAGAAGGGGCAAUCGGAAUUCUUGGUGUAGCGGUGAAAUGCGUAGAUAUCAAGAGGAACACCUGAGGUGAAGACGGGUUGCUGGGCUGACACUGACGCUGAGGCGCGAAAGCCAGGGGAGCAAACGGGAUUAGAUACCCUGGUAGUCCCUGAGCGGGCUGGCAAGGCGCAU
RNAcentral lists this ribosomal RNA (447 nucleotides) under uncultured bacterium. RNAcentral's name for it is "bacterial SSU rRNA". It matches the Rfam family "Bacterial small subunit ribosomal RNA", at positions 355 to 825 of the family's 1533-position model. The record is from RNAcentral.